GGCUCAGAUUGAACGCUGGCGGCAGGCCUAACACAUGCAAGUCGAGCGGUAGAGAGAAGCUUGCUUCUCUUGAGAGCGGCGGACGGGUGAGUAAUGCCUAGGAAUCUGCCUGGUAGUGGGGGAUAACGUUCGGAAACGGACGCUAAUACCGCAUACGUCCUACGGGAGAAAGCAGGGGACCUUCGGGCCUUGCGCUAUCAGAUGAGCCUAGGUCGGAUUAGCUAGUUGGUGAGGUAAUGGCUCACCAAGGCGACGAUCCGUAACUGGUCUGAGAGGAUGAUCAGUCACACUGGAACUGAGACACGGUCCAGACUCCUACGGGAGGCAGCAGUGGGGAAUAUUGGACAAUGGGCGAAAGCCUGAUCCAGCCAUGCCGCGUGUGUGAAGAAGGUCUUCGGAUUGUAAA
This 406-nucleotide ribosomal RNA is filed under the name Pseudomonas sp. R-37153. Its description in RNAcentral is "bacterial SSU rRNA". It matches the Rfam family "Bacterial small subunit ribosomal RNA", at positions 21 to 429 of the family's 1533-position model. Lineage: Bacteria; Pseudomonadati; Pseudomonadota; Gammaproteobacteria; Pseudomonadales; Pseudomonadaceae. RNAcentral also lists the same sequence under 2 other names. The record is from RNAcentral.